GGAUUACGUACCCUGGUAGUCCACGCCGUAAACGAUGAGUGCUCCUAGUUGUGCCGCGUUCGGCCUUCGGUGACGCACGUAACGCGUUAAGCACUCCGCCUGGGGAGUACGGCCGCAAGGUUAAAACUUAAAGGAAUUGACGCGAACCCGCACAAGCGGUGGCGCAUGCGGCUUUAAUCCGUAUACUACGCGUAAAAGCUUACCAGCUCUUGUCAAACAGGUGUUGCAUGGCUGUCGUCAGCCCGUGUCGUAAGAUGUUUGGUUAACUCCUUUAACGGGCGUAACCCUUACCGUCCCGGGGACCGCUAUUAAAGCAAUAGAGGAAGAUAAGGACCACGCCAAGUCGUCAUGGCCCUCAUGAGCUGGGCUACACAUGUGCUACAAAGCCGCACACAACGAGAUGCGAUGAGGCGACUCGGAGCAACCUUUAACGUGCGGCCUAGUUCGGAUUGUUCCCUGAAACUCGGGAGCAUAAAGGCGUAAUCGCUAGUAAUCGCGUAUCAUUACGGCGCGGUGAAUAGGAGUCCGGGUUUU
This 534-nucleotide ribosomal RNA is filed under the name unidentified marine eubacterium. Its description in RNAcentral is "bacterial SSU rRNA". It matches the Rfam family "Bacterial small subunit ribosomal RNA", at positions 775 to 1382 of the family's 1533-position model. The record is from RNAcentral.